AAAUAUUUUUAAGAAAUAUUUUUAAAAGAUAUUUUAAAAAUAUUUUAUGCUGUAUGAGAGCACGCGUAUAAUUUAAUAAGGCUACUUUUUGUUAUAAUUAGUAGCUUAAUCUUUAGUAGCUUAUAAGAAUGGCAAGUAAUUGAAGACAAUUAAGAAGAUUAUCUAAUGUCAAUAAUAGCACAAUAAAGCAGAAACUACUUUAAAUGAUGACUCAUAUGGAGCUAAAGAAAGCAUAACCAGAUGUUCGCGGAGGUCAUUUGGGAUCAUCAGGUGCAGCAACAAACUUGAGUUUAUAAUACGUAAUAACGAUAUUUAUAUCGGUAAUUAUGCUUGGAAAUCUAUUCUUUGCCAAGACGUCGACGAAUCGAUAUCUGUAUUAUUUGUUUAUAAAUUUAAUCUGCGAAAAAAUCGAGCUCAAGAGUGCGAAAUAUGUCAGUGAUAACUAACAAUCGCGAAAGAAUGUGAAAUAUUUUAUUUUUCACUUUAUGUGUUUUUUUUUGCAUAUUUUACUGACGACUUUUAACGGUGAAUAUAAAUAAGAAAUUAUCGCAAAAAAUUGAGCUUGACCCCGAGAGCUGAUAUCGCUCCAAUUUUACAAUAUAAACAUUGGACGACUAUAAUAAUACACAAUUGGUGAAUAUUAUUAUUGUGUAUCUCAAGGGGAGCAGUACAAGAUGGAAUUACAGGAAAAUUACGCCUUUGCUCAUAAAAACCUGGUUUACGAUACUAUUCCUCUCAUUAUUAUUGAUAAGUCAGUGGGGAAACAUUUUAAAGAUAAGAGAGAAACUCUAAAAUAUUAUCACGUUUCUAGUCCAUUUUGGAUGAAGUUUCGUUUAUUAUUAUUUUGGACAUUGUGGUUAUAUUGAUUAUGGCGAUGAUGCUCUGUAUUCUCACAUAUUUUUGUUUCACACCUCGAAUGUGUUAUAGUCAUAAUUCAAAUAUACACACAACGUAAACGAAUGAUAAAUAUGCACCAGUCCAAGAAUGCAGUGACAUCAUCAUAAAUGUAAUAUACAUAUAAUAAUUUGAAUAUUAUUAAAUAUAUUUGUACUAUAUAAAUAUAAGAAUUAAAUUGUCACAUACCUUUGAGCGCCUUUUAAUAUCUUAAAAUCGGCAAUUUUUGCCACAUUAUACAAUACAAUAUAUUGUA
Molecule: non-coding RNA, 1150 nt
Organism: Nylanderia fulva
Lineage: Eukaryota; Metazoa; Arthropoda; Insecta; Hymenoptera; Formicidae
Source: RefSeq, a predicted model, not a curated record